GGAGAAGCAAAGUGAUGAGCAUUACUGGCUGGAGCCCCGAAGAGGCACGUGUGUGUGCGUGUGCGCGCGCGUGUGUUUAUCUGUCCUGGUCUGUGCAUGCACACCUAUGUCUGGGAGUAUGAGUGUGUGUGACUGGUUGUAGGGAGCUAGUUACGUGCCUUCUGUUGGACCAUGACAGUCAAACUGAUAAGAUCUGAUUGCUUC
Small nucleolar RNA from Pteronotus mesoamericanus, 204 nucleotides. RefSeq annotates it as small nucleolar RNA ZL1. The transcript has a single exon. The record is from RefSeq and is a predicted model, not a curated record. NCBI's taxonomy places the organism in Eukaryota, Metazoa, Chordata, Mammalia, Chiroptera, Mormoopidae.